RNAcentral lists this ribosomal RNA (375 nucleotides) under uncultured bacterium. RNAcentral's name for it is "bacterial SSU rRNA". It matches the Rfam family "Bacterial small subunit ribosomal RNA", at positions 32 to 417 of the family's 1533-position model. The record is from RNAcentral.
AAUCAACGCUGGCGGCGUGCCUAACACAUGCAAGUCGCACGAGAAAGGGGCUUCGGCCCUGAGUACAGUGGCGCACGGGUGAGUAACACGUGAAUCAUCUACCUCCGAGUGGGGAAUAACCUAGGGAAACCUGGGCUAAUACCGCAUAACACUUACGAGUCAAAGCAGCAAUGCGCUUGGAGAGGAGUUCGCGGCAGAUUAGCUAGUUGGUGGGGUAAUGGCUCACCAAGGCGAUGAUCUGUAUCCGGCCUGAGAGGGCGCACGGACACACUGGAACUGAAACACGGUCCAGACUCCUACGGGAGGCAGCAGUGGGGAAUUUUGCGCAAUGGGGGAAACCCUGACGCAGCAACGCCGCGUGGAGGAUGAAGUCCC